CAUGUCUUUUUGAUUAUAAUAUAAAGUCUGACCUGCCCUAUGAAUAUAUUUUUAAAUGGCCGCGGUAUUUUGACCGUGCAAAGGUAGCAUAAUAAUUAGUUUUUUAAUUGAGAACUGGUAUGAAUGGUUUGACGAGGAAGGGACUGUCUCAAUUUAAUUUAAAUUAGAAUUUUAUAUUUAAGUUAAAAAGCUUAAAUAGAUUUAAAAGACGAGAAGACCCUAUAGAAUUUAAUAUUUGUAUAAAUAAUAUAUAUGUUUAAGUAUUAUUAUUUUUAUUAUUUAUAUAAGUAUUUAGUUGGGGUAACUAAAAAAUUUAAUAAACUUUUUUUAUAUUAAACCAUUGAUAUAUGAUUAUUUGAUCCAUUUUUUAUGAUUAUAAGAUUAAAUUACCUUAGGGAUAACAGCGUUAUUUUUUUUUAGAGUUCAUAUCGA
RNAcentral lists this ribosomal RNA (432 nucleotides) under Scarabaeus galenus. RNAcentral's name for it is "partial 16S ribosomal RNA". Lineage: Eukaryota; Metazoa; Arthropoda; Insecta; Coleoptera; Scarabaeidae. The record is from RNAcentral.